UUAUUUGAGAGUUUGAUCCUGGCUCAGGAUGAACGCUGGCGGCGUGCCUAACACAUGCAAGUUGAGCGAUUUACUUCGGUAAAGAGCGGCGGACGGGUGAGUAACGCGUGGGUAACCUACCCUGUACACACGGAUAACAUACCGAAAGGUAUGCUAAUACGGGAUAACAUAUUUGAGAGGCAUCUCUUGAAUAUCAAAGGUGAGCCAGUACAGGAUGGACCCGCGUCUGAUUAGCUAGUUGGUAAGGUAACGGCUUACCAAGGCGACGAUCAGUAGCCGACCUGAGAGGGUGAUCGGCCACAUUGGAACUGAGACACGGUCCAAACUCCUACGGGAGGCAGCAGUGGGGAAUAUUGCACAAUGGGCGAAAGCCUGAUGCAGCAACGCCGCGUGAGUGAUGAAGGCUUUCGGGUCGUAAAACUCUGUCCUCAAGGAAGAUAAUGACGGUACUUGAGGAGGAAGCCCCGGCUAAC
Molecule: ribosomal RNA, 473 nt
Filed under: Clostridioides sp. ZZV13-5731
Lineage: Bacteria; Bacillati; Bacillota; Clostridia; Peptostreptococcales; Peptostreptococcaceae
Description: bacterial SSU rRNA
Rfam family: Bacterial small subunit ribosomal RNA
Source: RNAcentral